RNAcentral lists this ribosomal RNA (392 nucleotides) under uncultured bacterium. RNAcentral's name for it is "partial 16S ribosomal RNA". It matches the Rfam family "Bacterial small subunit ribosomal RNA", at positions 523 to 918 of the family's 1533-position model. The record is from RNAcentral.
AUACGUAGGGGGCGAGCGUUAUCCGGAAUUAUUGGGCGUAAAGAGGGAGCAGGCGGCAGCAAGGGUCUGUGGUGAAAGCCUGAAGCUUAACUUCAGUAAGCCAUAGAAACCAGGCAGCUAGAGUGCAGGAGAGGAUCGUGGAAUUCCAUGUGUAGCGGUGAAAUGCGUAGAUAUAUGGAGGAACACCAGUGGCGAAGGCGAGGAUCGGGCCUGCAACUGACGGUCAGUCCCGAAAGCGUGGGGAGCAAAUAGGAUUAGAUGCCCUAGUAGUCCACGCCGUAAACGAUGAGUACUAAGUGUUGGAUGUCAAAGUUCAGUGCUGCAGUUAACGCAAUAAGUACUCCGCCUGAGUAGUACGUUCGCAAGAAUGAAACUCAAAGGAAUUGACGGGG